This 1912-nucleotide long non-coding RNA is filed under the name Homo sapiens (human). RNAcentral describes it as "HSALNT0247275". The record is from RNAcentral. Lineage: Eukaryota; Metazoa; Chordata; Mammalia; Primates; Hominidae.
AACCGGAUCCCACCUUUGUUCAUUUGCUUCGAUCUUCUUGCUCUAUGAGAGAAGGUAGACAUUUCUGUGGUCAUUUCCAGACAUAGAAUCAUAAUCACCUUUGUCCUUAAACAGCUCCUUGAACUUCCACUGAUUUCAUCUCCGUUUCCUUGUGUUCUUUGGAACACUGUGCGUAUUGUAAUCACAGCCUUAGCUAAAUAGUGCUCUUCCUUCAAGAUCGAUGCUUCGUACUAUUUCUCACAUUUAUGAUUAUCAAUAUUCAUUAAAUUUAUAAGUGUGUAUAGGAUUGGCACCUUAGUAGACCAUAGGCUUCCUUUGCCAGCUGAAAUUUUAACAAUAAACACAAUAUAAAUUAAUAGUGAGACAUAAAGUAUUAUAUAGCAUCUUAUUUCUCAUGGUAGCUACAACUGUACCUACUUUAUUGUCAUAAAUGAGACCUACUGAUGAUAUUAAAAAUAUAUGUGUGUAUGUAUAAAAUAAUCCAAAUGUGUGUAUGUAUGUAUGUAUGUAUAAAAUAAUCCAAAAUUUAUUAUUUAAGAAACUGCCAUAUAUGUAUACAUGACAUACCUGGUAACAAUUGGAAUUUUGAAAGAUAGCUUUCACUGGACUGUCUUGUUGUGGAAAGUUCUAUAAACAAUAUGCUUAAUGAAUAUUUAAUAGUGUUUUGUGAUAAAGGCCACACCUAUAUACAUAACACCAUAAAACCAAGCAGGAAGAGCCAUGAUGACGCAGGGUUACCCCUCUCUGGACAAAACCAAAGAAAUGCCAGUAGCCCUGUACUUAUUUGUACAAAGUCCUUCCACUCAUUUUCUAAUGAGUCUUGACAUCUACUCAGUCUGUAUUACAGUUUCCAUUUAUAUUAUCUGCCUGAACUGCGCCAAGACCAGGAAGCCCAGAUGUCAUCAUAAAUACCAUCACCCAUAAUAUAAAUAUUCCAAUUAGAUUCCUUCUAUUUUCAACAUCUACCAUUUUGAGCUAACAGGAAAUAUUUGUAUGAAAAUGAAACCUAGAUUCUAAGGUCUUCCUAUUCCUCCCCUUACUAUGCUUUUGUUUUUUAAAAAGAUUAAUAAUAUUCAACUGCAUUUCAGUUUGUGUUAUCAAAUGCUCAUUUUCUUAUUCACACAAAUAAGAACUAUCAAAACACGCUGAGCACUCCGUACAGGGCACUUCACAUCAAGGUGGCCAGAAGUUCAUUACAGAUUGAAAGCGUGAAAAAGAUAGACCACAUGUGGGUUUGGUUUUUCUUUUCACGUUUUUUAGAAAAUUUUCAUUUUCCCUCCCUUUUCAAUACUCAUAACUUGAUAUUAAAUCAAAAUACUUUAAACUGUAACCCCAAAAAAUCUGAGUAAUCAUUGACAGCUCAAGCAUAUGGCCUUUUCUUGUUUUACUGUUAUUGGACUUUAAUCAACAAUUUAAAUCUUCACCAUUGGGAAACUGAAAAUAGUUCUAGACUGUCCGUCUUUGAUGAAUUCUAAAAGAUGACUCGAGACAGACUGAACUUCUCCCCGACAGUGACCGUGAACCUUCUAUCUGUGCACUUAAGAGCAGUUGCCUGCCUUGCCAUGUGGAGUCCACGUUACCUUUCAUCGCCACAUAUGUGUACACAGCUAUUGUCUCCUGGUAACCGAGAAAGAAGGGCUGAUAGUUAGAUUUUACAGAUUAUCUCAACUAACAUUAGUUUUAUAGAAUGUUCCAUUCUCUGUUUUACACCCAUAUUCUUUAAAUUGCACCUGCAGAAUGCAUUCUCACUUGAGUUGUUUUUGAUAAUCUAAGUAUUUCUCCUGAUGCGUAUUCUUUUUCUAUUGAUUUUGAAACCGUAUGCAUAAUACCUAGUAUAUAAAUGCUAACAAAUAAAAAGUAUUUUUUGCAAGAUGUGAAAUGGUCACAUUCAUCUUCCUGGUGACAAGCACAG